This 301-nucleotide ribosomal RNA is filed under the name uncultured bacterium. Its description in RNAcentral is "partial 16S ribosomal RNA". It matches the Rfam family "Bacterial small subunit ribosomal RNA", at positions 509 to 807 of the family's 1533-position model. The record is from RNAcentral.
CAGUAGCCGCGGGAAUACGUAGGGUGCAAGCGUUAAUCGGAAUUACUGGGCGUAAAGCGUGCGCAGGCGGUGUUGUAAGACUGAUGUGAAAUCCCCGGGCUCAACCUGGGAACUGCAUUGGUGACUGCAACGCUGGAGUGCGGCAGAGGGGGAUGGAAUUCCGCGUGUAGCAGUGAAAUGCGUAGAUAUGCGGAGGAACACCGAUGGCGAAGGCAAUCCCCUGGGCCUGCACUGACGCUCAUGCACGAAAGCGUGGGGAGCGAACAGGAUUAGAUACCCCGGUAGUCCCUGUCUCUUAUAC